UUCGGUCUACUUUUUCUAUGAAAUUUAAGUGUUUAGUGCUAAUUAAUCGGUUGUAGUUUGGCUCCGAAAUUUUUUCUGUAGAGAUUGUUUGUCUUGUCCGCUGGCUUGUAUGUGUGAGGGUUUAGAUUAUCAUAUCUCUUCUUUGUAACUUUUGUAACAUGUAUUACAUUUGAUUUAGUUUGAGUUGGACGCAUAACUCAAAAAUGUUAGCAAUCAUGAAUUAGUUUUGAAUUUUUCAAAGUUGUGUUUGAGUUGUAAUAUAUUGUUGAUGCGUUAGAAUUUUGAGUUAUAGCCUUUGUAAAAUGAUAACUCAAAUCUUAAAUCAACAUCAAUAACAAUUUCAUGUAAGCUUUGAUUUAAAGAAAAUUUUGAGUUUUCUAAUAACUGCCAAACCAUAAUCAUACUAGGUGUUUUCCUG
This 418-nucleotide long non-coding RNA is filed under the name Brassica napus (rape). RNAcentral describes it as "long non-coding RNA (BNAP_LNC013913)". Lineage: Eukaryota; Viridiplantae; Streptophyta; Magnoliopsida; Brassicales; Brassicaceae. The record is from RNAcentral.